Molecule: long non-coding RNA, 1008 nt
Organism: Gopherus flavomarginatus (Mexican gopher tortoise)
Lineage: Eukaryota; Metazoa; Chordata; Testudines; Testudinidae
Exons: 2
Source: RefSeq, a predicted model, not a curated record
UUUGAAAGCUGGGAGGGGCAGAUGGGGCAGAUCAGUCCAUGAUCACCCUGCUCGAUACGUUCCCCUGACACCCUGGUACGGGCCACCGUUGGAGACAGGCUUCUGAGCUAGAUGGACCCUGGUCUGACUCAGUGUGGCAGCUCUUAUGCUCUUAAAAUGCAGCAAGGGAGGGGCGUGAGGGGGAAGGGAAGGAUGAGGGGCAGCUGUAACAUCCUCCAGUUGCUCAGUAAGGCUCUGGUCUAUAUUGCUGGGUUGGUAACGUGACCAUUCCUCCCCUCCCCAUCUCAUGAGCCAGGUGACAUUCCGGAGGGGACCUUGGCAAACAGGGCUGGGGAGAGAACUGCACAAGCACCAGGGACCUACACACACACAUUUCUCCCCACCCCUAAUGCUCACAGCCUGUGGCUACCGCCAUUAGCCAUGUCUGCAGGAUGGCCUGACUGGGCCCCGUGCUGGCCUUGGCGGAGGAAGGCACAUGCUGGAAGCGCCAGGCCAGCCCCGUGCUGUCACUGAAGCCCAGAGAGUGCUGAGGACUUUACUAAUCCCACGUCAGAGACAUUUGCUUGGCUGUUUUCACCCCAGGGGAUACCAGAGCUAUGAAACUGCCACUGUCCUUAAUAACCAAUGGGCCGAACAGACACCAAUGAAUCCUCAGAAGAGCAAUGUGCAGGCCCCAUCCUGCACCCUCCUACCUACCACUGAAGGCAACAGAAGCCCUGGGUUGCUUCUAUUUAGGUAUCUAACUUCAGGCACUCAACUUGGACAACUGUGGCCUGAGCCCCUAUUCAGCCACCUAAACACAUGGCUUGAUUUUCACCUACAGCUCCCACUGACUAUGAACCCGGGGCCCCCACGAGAAACACCUACGGAAGCUCUGACUUGACCGCAUGUGUGAAUUCCUGGGCCACAGGGGCUCCCCAGGCUGUGCUCAGACCUAACUCAAAUUCCCUUCAACGUGUCAAACACCUGACUAGGCUGAGAACUGAUCCCUCGGCAAGUUUAAAUAAA